GGCGAACGGGUGAGUAACACGUGGGCAAUCUGCCCUUCACUCUGGGACAAGCCCUGGAAACGGGGUCUAAUACCGGAUACGAGUCCGGGAGGCAUCUCCCGGGCUGGAAAGCUCCGGCGGUGAAGGAUGAGCCCGCGGCCUAUCAGCUUGUUGGUGGGGUAAUGGCCUACCAAGGCGACGACGGGUAGCCGGCCUGAGAGGGCGACCGGCCACACUGGGACUGAGACACGGCCCAGACUCCUACGGGAGGCAGCAGUGGGGAAUAUUGCACAAUGGGCGAAAGCCUGAUGCAGCGACGCCGCGUGAGGGAUGACGGCCUUCGGGUUGUAAACCUCUUUCAGCAGGGAAGAAGCGAGAGUGACGGUACCUGCAGAAGAAGCGCCGGCUAACUACGUGCCAGCAGCCGCGGUAAUACGUAGGGCGCAAGCGUUGUCCGGAAUUAUUGGGCGUAAAGAGCUCGUAGGCGGCUUGUCACGUCGGGUGUGAAAGCCCGGGGCUUAACCCCGGGUCUGCAUCCGAUACGGGCAGGCUAGAGUGUGGUAGGGGAGAUCGGAAUUCCUGGUGUAGCGGUGAAAUGCGCAGAUAUCAGGAGGAACACCGGUGGCGAAGGCGGAUCUCUGGGCCAUUACUGACGCUGAGGAGCGAAAGCGUGGGGAGCGAACAGGAUUAGAUACCCUGGUAGUCC
This 685-nucleotide ribosomal RNA is filed under the name uncultured bacterium. RNAcentral describes it as "bacterial SSU rRNA". It matches the Rfam family "Bacterial small subunit ribosomal RNA", at positions 97 to 796 of the family's 1533-position model. The record is from RNAcentral.